This 53-nucleotide ribosomal RNA is filed under the name Perenniporia sp. 'grammothele'. Its description in RNAcentral is "Perenniporia grammothele partial 26S ribosomal RNA". The record is from RNAcentral. Lineage: Eukaryota; Fungi; Basidiomycota; Agaricomycetes; Polyporales; Polyporaceae.
CUGACCUCAAAUCAGGUAGGACUACCCGCUGAACUUAAGCAUAUAANUUAAGC